This 385-nucleotide ribosomal RNA is filed under the name uncultured bacterium. Its description in RNAcentral is "bacterial SSU rRNA". It matches the Rfam family "Bacterial small subunit ribosomal RNA", at positions 29 to 417 of the family's 1533-position model. The record is from RNAcentral.
AUUGAACGCUGGCGGCAUGCCUUACACAUGCAAGUCGAGCGGCAGCGCGGGGGCAACCCUGGCGGCGAGCGGCGGACGGGUGAGUAAUACAUCGGAACGUGUCCUGUCGUGGGGGAUAACCAGUCGAAAGACUGGCUAAUACCGCAUGAGAUCGAAAGAUGAAAGCGGGGGACCGCAAGGCCUCGCGCGAUUGGAGCGGCCGAUGUCGGAUUAGCUAGNGGCGGGGUAAAGCCCACCAAGGCUACGAUCCGUAGCUGGUUUGAGAGAACGACCAGCCACACUGGGACUGAGACACGGCCCAGACUCCUACGGGAGGCAGCAGUGGGGAAUAUUGCGCAAUGGGCGAAAGCCUGACGCAGCGACGCCGCGUGGGUGAUGAAGGCCU